GACGAACGCUGGCGGCGUGCUUAACACAUGCAAGUCGAACGGAAAGGCCCUGCUUUUGUGGGGUGCUCGAGUGGCGAACGGGUGAGUAACACGUGAGUAACCUGCCCUUGACUUUCGGAUAACUUCAGGAAACUGGGGCUAAUACCGGAUAGGAGCUCCUGCUGCAUGGUGGGGGUUGGAAAGUUUCGGCGGUUGGGGAUGGACUCGCGGCUUAUCAGCUUGUUGGUGGGGUAGUGGCUUACCAAGGCUUUGACGGGUAGCCGGCCUGAGAGGGUGACCGGCCACAUUGGGACUGAGAUACGGCCCAGACUCCUACGGGAGGCAGCAGUGGGGAAUAUUGCACAAUGGGCGGAAGCCUGAUGCAGCAACGCCGCGUGCGGGAUGACGGCCUUCGGGUUGUAAACCGCUUUCGCCUGCGACGAAGCGUGAGUGACGGUAAUGGGUAAAGAAGCACCGGCUAACUACGUG
This 468-nucleotide ribosomal RNA is filed under the name uncultured bacterium. RNAcentral's name for it is "partial 16S ribosomal RNA". It matches the Rfam family "Bacterial small subunit ribosomal RNA", at positions 28 to 507 of the family's 1533-position model. The record is from RNAcentral.